RNAcentral lists this ribosomal RNA (279 nucleotides) under uncultured bacterium. Its description in RNAcentral is "partial 16S ribosomal RNA". It matches the Rfam family "Bacterial small subunit ribosomal RNA", at positions 506 to 784 of the family's 1533-position model. The record is from RNAcentral.
UGCCAGCCGCCGCGGUAAUACGGAGGGGGCGAGCGUUAUUCGGAAUUAUUGGGCGUAAAGGGCUCGCAGGCUGCUUGAACAGUUAGACGUAAAAUCCCCGGGCUCAACCUGGGAACUGCGUUUAAUACUAGCAAGCUAGAGAAAUAGAGAGGAAAGUGGAACUCCCAGUGUAGAGGUGAAAUUCGUAGAUAUUGGGAAGAACACCAGUGGCGAAAGCGAUUUUCUGGACUGAUAUUGACGCUGAGAUGCGAAGGCAUGGGUAGCAAACGGGAUUAGAUA